CCUCAGUAACGGCGAGUGAAGCGGCAACAGCUCAAAUUUGAAAUCUGGCCGUCCUGCGGUCCGAGUUGUAAUUUGUAGAGGAUGCUUCGGGUGAGGCGCCGUUCUAAGUUCCUUGGAACAGGACGUCAUAGAGGGUGAGAAUCCCGUACGUGACCGGUGACCCAGCCCGUGUGAAGCUCCUUCGACGAGUCGAGUUGUUUGGGAAUGCAGCUCUAAAUGGGUGGUAAAUUUCAUCUAAAGCUAAACACCGGCCAGAGACCGAUAGCGCACAAGUAGAGUGAUCGAAAGAUGAAAAGCACUUUGGAAAGAGAGUUAAAAAGUACGUGAAAUUGUUGAAAGGGAAGCGCUUGCAACCAGACUUGCUCGUGGGUGAUCAGCCGUCCUUCUGGGCGGUGCACUCGCCCGCGAUCAGGCCAGCAUCGGUUCGGGCGGUUGGAUAAAGGCCCCGGGAAUGUGACUCCCUCCGGGGAGUGUUAUAGCCCGGGGUGCAAUGCGGCCAGCCCGGACCGAGGACCGCGCUUCGGCUAGGAUGCUGGCGUAAUGGUUGUAAGCGACCCGUCUUGAAACACGGACCAAGGAGUCUAACAUCUAUGCGAGUGUUUGGGUGUCAAACCCAUGCGCGCAAUGAAAGUGAACGGAGGUGGGAACCCUCAAGGGUGCACCAUCGACCGAUCCUGAUGUCUUCGGAUGGAUUUGAGUAAGAGCAUAGCUGUUGGGACCCGAAAGAUGGUGAACUAUGCCUGAAUAGGGUGAAGCCAGAGGAAACUCUGGUGGAGGCUCGCAGCGGUUCUGACGUGCAAAUCGAUCGUCAAAUUUGGGUAUAGGGGCGAAAG
This 833-nucleotide ribosomal RNA is filed under the name Umbilicaria phaea var. phaea. Its description in RNAcentral is "partial large subunit ribosomal RNA". It matches the Rfam family "Eukaryotic large subunit ribosomal RNA", at positions 78 to 929 of the family's 3401-position model. The record is from RNAcentral. Lineage: Eukaryota; Fungi; Ascomycota; Lecanoromycetes; Umbilicariales; Umbilicariaceae.